GUGCCAGCCGCCGCGGUAAUACGUAGGGGGCGAGCGUUGUCCGGAAUCAUUGGGCGUAAAGAGCUCGUAGGCGGUUCAGUAAGUCAGGUGUGAAAGCUCCGAGCUCAACUCGGAGAGGCCACCUGAUACUGCUGUGACUAGAAUCCAGUAGGGGAGUGUGGAACUCCUGGUGUAGCGGUGAAAUGCGCAGAUAUCAGGAAGAACACCAGCGGCGAAGGCGGCACUCUGGGCUGGAAUUGACGCUGAGGAGCGAAAGUGUGGGUAGCAAACAGGAUUAGAAACCCCCGUAGUCC
RNAcentral lists this ribosomal RNA (293 nucleotides) under uncultured bacterium. RNAcentral's name for it is "partial 16S ribosomal RNA". It matches the Rfam family "Bacterial small subunit ribosomal RNA", at positions 505 to 796 of the family's 1533-position model. The record is from RNAcentral.